AGGACCAAAUCUAUUUUUCCAUCGCCCUUCAAUGGUAAACCCUUAUCUGUUUGUGCGACCACCGUUCCAUUCGCCAUCGGCUGUGACAUUGUCGAGGAUUCGCAGGCCUCCCCUGUAGCUCUCUCUGGUUUUUCCAUUGUGACGCAUAUGGUAAGAUUUUUAAACCAAUUUCAUCACUGUUUCCAUGCAUAGUUAACAAGAUGUGAAACUGGACUUCAUGGAAUUGAUUUCUUUGGUGAUUAAGCUGAUUUCCCCUAAUUGAUUCUAGCAUAGUAGCAUUUUUGAAUAUUUUCUUAGGUGUUGUAGUGACCAAUUAACCUUAUCAACCUCUAGCAGUAACUACAAUAGCCAAAUAGAAGACAAAAAUGCCAUUACUUCUUCUGUUGGUUUAUUUCCCACAACUUCACCAUACUUCUAUUCUGAUGCCAAUUUUGCUUAUAAUGAGUGUUUAUCGAGAAUAUCUGAAAUCUAGAACUAGGCGCCAAAAAUAUAGAGAUUAGCAUAAAUGUGGUGAGGAUUGUCUAGUUACGAAUUUGGGACUGGUGUGGCCUAAUUCAAGGUUUGCUUGUGGAUGAUGGUACCUUGUAAACAACUUAAUUUACUUGUGAAUCUGAUAUGUUUGUUGAUAAUUGAAGAAGCAGAUAAGUGGUAGGAUUUAGAAAUAUUAGAAGUGGAAUGCAUGGACUAGUAAAACCGUAUGGUUUAUUACAUUGAUGGUUAGUACAACACUUAAGUCUUAGUGUUGCCACACAUACAUGGUGAGGCACUAAUGCCUAUUUAUAGCUGGAGUCACCGCCUUGAUUUUGGCGGUUUAUUAUAUGAUACAAUUGGAUCAUUCUAGAGUUUAGAAACAUCAAAAUAGUCUAUGUGCUUUCUAUAAUAGUGUAGAUUUUAAAAGAUAAUUCUAGAAAUUUGCAUCAAUUCUUAACAAUGUUUAACCUCUUACAUUUUCCUUCAAUGUAUACAUCUUAGCAAGCUAUCUCUAUGGUGGAGAUUUUGUAUGAUAAUUCGAUUAGCUCAUUAAGUUAAUUCAAUCAUGUUUCUGGGAAAUAACUUUUUGGUAUUUAAAUUAUUUCUGUAGCAUAGUCUUUAGGUUGAUUCUACUGCUUAAAUGAAAAUAUUCUGUCUGUGCUUUUUCCUUGCUUCAACUUGGGUGUGUGUUAAAAGCUUGCUCCUGUGGAUGUUGACAUGGCAAGGUUCUUGCUAACAAUCAGAAAUGUUUAUGUGCUCUUAUUUUAAAUGGUUGAACUCACUGGACAAGUUUUUGAAGUAAUAAAGUAAGAAACAAUUUUUUUAAAAAGGAUAUAAUUCUUGAAGAAGUCAAUUUAAUGUGAAGCUUAAAGAUUAGGAGGAGUGAUUUCAUUUGAUUAGCUCAUAGUUCUGAGUUUAUCUAAUGCUGGUUAUAGGUAUUAUGAUUACAUUUACUUGUAUAGACUGACUAAUUUAUUUCCUAUAUACAUUAGACCCCCAAAGUAUAAGCAAGAUAUCACACACACAGAAAUGGGGAUGAUGAGAAGAAAAAGAAUAUUGUUUUUGUUUCUAAUGACCAGAUGAGGAAUUGGGUGAAUGAGAUAGAACAUUAUGCUAUUCUGGUCAACAUACUGGUCUGGUCAAAUCUAAAAUCUUGUAGGCCACCUUUGAUCUGGGGUCUGUUAUGAUCGUGAAAGAUUAGCAAACCCUAACAUUGGUAGUUGCUUUGUUUCUUUGUUGGUUGUAUGUUUCUGGCUUCUUUUGAUAUGAAAAUAUUAUUUUUUGCAAGAGUUAAUCGCUUUAAUAUUUUUUUUCAGUAACACCUAGCAAAUUGAAAUGAGAGAGUUCUGCUUUGAAUUAUCUAUUUGGUUGGCAGUAAUUAGUAUGUCUAUGAAAUUUAACUUUCUCUGUUUUCCUUGGACUUCAUGGCAUAAGAAAAGUUCACAUAGGCGGUUAAAAAGGCAUAAAGCCACAUAAAAAUUAACUUGAACUCUUUGGCAUUUAAUUUAUCUUCUUUUCUACUUUCAGUACUCUAUGAAGACCCGGAACUUUAAAAUUAGAGCCACAUGGAAAUUUCAUCAUCCUAGAGACCAAGUUGGGAACUGAGAUCGCUGGAAGAGUUGCCUUAAGCAUUUUCACUGUGGUGUGAGAGUGUUGGCGGUUCACAGUCAAUGAUGUCAUGCUCAUAUCAUGGUCACUUCGGGUAAUUAACUUCAAAUAUUUUCAUUUUCUAUUUGCUUAUAUAUAGUUUCAUGAGAAUUUCUCAAAACUUAUGAAAAAGAUGGGAGUGUUUAGGUCACGGGUUCUUAAAUUAAGGUCUUGUUUUCUAGUUGUCGGUAUGUUUGGAUUGACAGAACAUAACAGAGCAGAACGAAUUGAAAUAUAAUGGAACAGAUAGAGCGGAAUGAAAUGGAAUAAAAAUCUCAUCCCAUUGUUUGGGUAUUUUAUGAUAACACGAAACAAAAUCACCACUCCCUUAUUUGGAUAAUGGACGGAGCGGAAUGAGUUAUAACUUUUUUAUUCCUAUAUUACCUUUCUUUAAAUAAUAAAAUUCUCAUUAAAUUAUUAAAAUGAUUAACAAAAUAAUUUUUUAGAGGAAUUAACAAAAUCAUUAUCCUUGCUAAACUCUCAUUAUAUCUAUUUACUCAAAUUAAAUUAUAUCCUCAUCAUUUAUCUACAGUAAACUAUACUAGUAUAUGCCAAUAUUUUUUUAUAAAACGUACUGAACAUAAUAGAACACUAUCGAAAAAAGUAAACGAAAAAUAAAAGAAUGCAACAGUUGGAAAAAAAAAUAGUUUGUUGACAAAUAAAAGAAUAUGUAUACAUUAGUAUUAAUAAUUAAAUAUGAACAGUAUCAUUAUAUUACCUUUCGUAAGCUGUAAUGUUUUAUUUUUGCUAGAUAUGUUAAAAUAAUGUUGGAACUUGGUUGUUUGUGUGAGGGGAGAGAGUAGAGACUCACGGAGAGAGAGUGGGAGAGAGUGGGAGAGACUAUUAAGUUAAGGGCUAGAAAUCUAGAAUUGUAAAUUGAUAAUUUUUAUAAGUGUAAAAUCUUGAUUUCAUCCCAUACCUUCCAAAUUGAGGGAAGCAAAAUGAUGGAAACUAAUCUCAUCUCAUUUCCAUCUCAUCCCACCUUUUCAUAACAUAUCCAAACAAUAGAACAUAAAAAUAUUUCACUCCAUCUCAUCUCACCCCACUCCCUGCCACCAAUCCAAAUAUAGCCUAAUGAUGGCAUAGUGUAUAUUUGACUGUGGAUAAAUGAUGAAGAUAUAAACUAAUUAGAGUAAAUAGAUAUGAUGAGAUUUUAGCAAGGUAAUUAUUUUGUUAAUUAUUUUUGUAGUUUAAUGAUAAUCUUUUAUUUUAAAGCAAAGGUAAUGUAGGAAUUAAAAAGUUAUAACUCAUUCCGCUCCAUCCAUUAUCCAAAAAGGGGCGUGGUAACUUUAAUUUGUUAUGUUCCAUCAUUAAAUACCCAAACAAUGGGAUGAGAUUUUUAUUCCAUUCUGUUCUGCUCCAUUAUAUUUCAUUACGUUCCGCUCCGUUAUGUUUCAUCAAUCCAGCCUAAAUGUUUGCAUAGAUUAACACAUCACGAUAGCAAAAUAACAAUAUAAGGAACAAUGGCUGAAAAUGGUGGGUGGAUGGUUGACCAAAAAUAUGUAUACUGCAUGUUUGCACAAACUAUAUAUUAAUUAAUCAGGUUCUAGUACUUUUUGAGAUAAAUAUGUUGAGAUUGAUACUUUGAGACACUAUUACAACACUAGUAGCAGAUUAGGUAGACCAUCACAACACGUUCAACAGAGGAAUAUGUAGCAGCAAAUGCUAGGAUAAGCUAACUUCAAUUUUAGAAUUGAGAACUUAAUUUUCAAGUAUACACUAUUUGUUCCCCUUCUUCAUGUAACUUUUGUCAUGGACAUGAUUAAAGUUGUAUAGUGCAAUUUCUCAAACUCAAUGGCUUGUGAAAUCUUGUGUGCAAACCUUGAGAAUAAUUCAUCCAUGAUACCUUUGCCAAAUGCGGCAGAGUAAAGUGGUUCCACGACGGAUCUGAGGGUCUUGGAAAUUAACUCUCCUUUAAUUUUGGUAUCCAUGUCAUGUGGAAGGUGUCCAUCCAAACUUAUUUGGAUAGUUUUCAGUGUUUGAAGGGUAAAAGAUCCUUCUGCCUCAAUUAUUUGUUUGACUUCCUCCACAGUAGGAAUAUAUAUAGGCAUAUUAAAGCAAUCUAAUUUAGUCUCUUCAAGCAAACCCUGCAUUUAUAUUAAUUUAUAGGGAACAAUAUUAGUUACUACCAAAUAGGAAUAACAUGUUAUAAACUACAGAAAAACAUUACAUUCCAGUUAGUUUCUUGAAAAUCUAGUAAUAAUGGUAAUCAAAAUUGUAUUCGUUGCAUACCUCCAAGACCAUGUCCUUCAGUACCAACUCAAUUAAGUCCUGCGUAGUACCCUUUUCAAAUGCAGCAUUUUCUCUUCCCAGUAAAGAUAGUACCAUACUUCCAUCAAGUGUUAGUUCGUUCGAACGUGAUCGAAGAAAUAGAUUGAAAUCUCUUUGGAAUUGCUCAAAAUAUGCUUUAUACACUAUUUUAGGACUUUUGAUUGUUAAAUAAAUAUGACCCUUGUUCAGUGGUUCUGCCCCUUUAGUCAAUUCUUCUGGAGACUGUUCCGGAAAAAGCAAUAGACACACACAAAUGAUAUUAUUUUGUGCUUUGCUUCACAAACACAACUUUAACAACUUUAAUAUAUAUAUUAAUAAAUACCUGCGAGAGCCAAUGAAGACUAUUCGAAGAAUGAAAGAAAUCGAUGUAAUUAUUAGGAAAGAGCCUCCCAUAGAAGUUCCCUGGAGUUGCAUUUAUAAAGCAUGCUCCAGCUUUGUCUCCCCUAUCUUGUAUCUUUUGGUAGAAAUCAGGAAGUAACUUGAAGAUACCAUUAAAAUCGUUUCCAAAAAGAUCACUAAGAUAAACUUGGAGUAUGGGCACCUCUUGCUUUGAGCCCAAUCUAGUUGUGUUGAUGACGCUCAUUAUAUCGGACACGACCAGAAGUGAAUUUGGUCCUGAAGAGCAUCCUAAAUCUGCCACUUUCAAAUUACUUUUAAAAGUGGUGUGAUGCAACAAUGUCUUAAUACUUUCUUCUAGUAUUGACUUCAUUUCAAAUAACACUUUUCUCUGCAAUAAAAAAAACUUGGUUACAACAAUGACGACGCCAACAAUAAUAAGCCAAAUGUUAUCCCAUAAUCUUAGGGACAGCUGUGAUAUAAAAAAUUCAAAAUGAUGAUCUGUAGGUUAUUAGCUGAAUCUGUUUUAUUUUGGCAUUCCUUGAGAUUUUCUCUAUGGUGUUAUGAUGUUAUAGGGAUGCCAUUUUAGAAACUGAGGUUUAUUUUGAAAUUUUUUGGGGUGGUGUUUUGGAUGAGAUUUUAUUGUAUAAGGUUGUAUAUCCGUCAUGAGAAUGGUUGUUUCUCAUGUUCUCUUAAUUUUAUGAAUAUAACUCUUGCUUUAAAAAGAAUUAUUUUUCAAUAAAAAAUUAUAUUUUCUAUAAUUUUUUUACCAGAAGUUCGAGGGAGAGUAGAAGUAGUAACAAGAAGAGAAUGCAUACAAUGGAAAAGUUCAAGGGAGCAUAUGAUUAUUGAGUAGGCAGCUGAGGUUCUUUCUCCCUUGAGAAAUUAAUCCGGUAAGUUAAAUAUUAAUUCGAUCUCUUUACUUACUAUUGACACCAAAAUAUUGGCUGAUGCAGAAUGGUUGUAAACUAAUUUAAUCGAGUCAAGGUUAGCUCAGAGCAGACAAGUUUAUUUUUUAUAUGCUAAAUAAUGAUAUUAAUGUGGAGCACAAGGGGUGCCCCAUCCGAUACAAAGGAAAAACAAAAGUCUAAAUAACAAGAAACAUCCUACAGCGUUCAAAUGAAGUAAAAAUCACAUACUCUAUAAAACUGACACAUUUCAACGGGCUUUGCCAACAAAUGAGAAGCGUUUUCGGAAUCCUUUGAGCUCUACGGCAGCAUGCUCCAGAUGUGGUUCCGAUUCAGAGGAUGCCAACCAUGUUUUUUGAGGAUGCCCUGACUCGCAGAACUUGUGGAGGAGCCUUGGUCCCUUGCUGCCGCGGCUUGACACUCAUG
This 6059-nucleotide long non-coding RNA is filed under the name Lotus japonicus. Its description in RNAcentral is "long non-coding RNA (LJAP_LNC000351)". The record is from RNAcentral. Lineage: Eukaryota; Viridiplantae; Streptophyta; Magnoliopsida; Fabales; Fabaceae.